AUGGGCUUAUUUUAAAACUAGAAAAACCUGUUCAAACUCUUGUAGUAUUGCAGGCAGCAAAGAAAAUUCACCUUCGGCUCACAGUGUCAGAGCUGUAAAUGUUUUCAGUUUUUUGUACUUUAAUUGGAUGGAAAAAAAGAAAAACCUCAAGAAAAAUACAAGAGGAAACGUCUGCAUCUGAUGCCAUCUCUUACAUGUUUCAGUCAUCUUGAUACUCGCGGUCCUCAAAUGUGUGAAACAGCGCCCCCCUCGAAGACAACGCAAUGUAAAGGCCAGUGCGUGUGUGGUGGAAGCGGGUAUUGCACCCGCGCUGUGAGUUCUGCGUGAGGGAAAACAGGUGAAGUUGACGUCCUUUGAUUAAAAUAGUUUCAGCCAUUUAUAUUUAUGCAGCAAGGAAACUGAAUGGUUUUGAAAACAGGCUGUAUCUGCUGUUUUUUUUUUACUGCAAAACCAUAAAGUGUUGGCAUUCAAAUGAAGCACCUGGGAGAGGUGGCUUAUUUUUUUUUUUUUAUUAUUUAUUUAUAUGUGGUAUUUAGCUAGUUUGACUAGUUAGCAGUUGAGUGAUGGAGGACAACAAACGAAAAAUAAAGCCAAAAGAAGUCUAGCCAUUUGCUACAAAUACUUUACGUUUUUAUCAACCAGUUAGGUUUUAUAUUUUUGGAUGUAUUUUCAUACUUUUCCAGGCAGCCAUUUGUUUCCAUUCAUUUCCUUAUGGUUUCAGUUUGAAUGCAGUUUAAUAACAGACUGACUUGAAAAGUUUGGGGUAAAGUUGGCAAAAAGCUGACUUGAUCUUCACUGUGAUUGUGUUUCCAAUUUUCUGAUUUUCAUACCAUUUGGGAAUGAAUGGAAACCAUGGAUCUAAAAAUCUAAAACUGCAAUUGAACUCAACACCUUGCUGCCAUGAAGGAGAGUUUAUCUUCACAAACUCUGGUUUUAUUAAUGGCCAGAUGUCCUGCUGUAGCUUUGUUCCUAAACAUGCUGGACAAUAUGUGUGAUUAUGUGAUCAUCUUGCUUAAAUGUAUUAGACCUUGUUUGUCGGGAUUUAACUGUUAUAUCUGUUAUGUCUGUUAUAUCUAGGCCUAUUUAAGUUAUUAUAUCACUUGGAUGCUAUCGAUAAUAGUUAUAGCCCAAUAUCAUUAAUAUAAUAAUUUGCGUCAGGGGGCUUUAUAAUCUGUACAGCAAUACAACAUCUUGAAUUUGGGGAUGGUGGGGUGAAAAAUGGAAGAACCCUCAGGAGGAGCAACAGAGGAUGGAUCCUGAUCUAUGACUGUGCUGUCCUAUAUUGCUGUCAGAGUGAACCCACCCAUUUCUGGCAUUCACUUCUCAUAAAGUUUGACAAAUGUUAAAGGCGACCCUUUCAGUGAUCUAUCAGGAGAGAAAAAGUUUUAAUCUAUUUCCAUAAAAGUGAAUAAAACAUACAUGCAAAAUCUAAGAUGAGGCUAAUUUCUUUUUUACCUUGCAAGGCAGCUGGAUUCACAAGAUCACGUUUAUUAAAUCAGGUCAAAUUUCUUCAUCUGAGCUCAGAGCCCUCACUAAAGGCUGGAAGCUUCAUUACAACAAUACUGAUGUUGGACUACUUCUUCUAGUAGAUUUUUACUUGAAGAUCUUGGAGCAGGGUGGUUUACAUGUUACUUACUGUCUGCACCAUCUGGCUGGUUAAAGAAUGAGCAAGCAGAUGAAAUAGAGGUCAAAGUGGGAAUAACAGGGCAAGGUGAAGGCAUGGGAAGGUUACAGUGGUCAUUAGGCUAACCACAGUGUGGAGCUGACGGGACCAGUGGUGUGUGAGAGCGGUUUCAGGGCGUCUUUAACCUCGCACAGGCUCAGAAAUAGCUGUCAUCAACUGUUGCUUUACUGCUUUGUUCCCACACAUUCUCCCUUUUUUCCUCCUUCAGGUGAGUAGCCGAGUAGAUGAGAAGGAUGUCAUCAUCGUCUCUCUCACCUCCUCUCUCCCCUCUCUCUCUCCCUCUCUUUUUCCCAGAAGGCCAUGUGAAUAUUUGCUUCCACAGAGGUGACCACUCCAAGGGCAAACGUUGCAAAGUGCUCUUGCCCUGUCGACUUCACAUAUCCUGCAGCCAAUAAAAAUGAUGAUGCGGAAUUAUUGUUUAAUGAAAGAAAUCAGUCUCCCUCAGGUGGAAUGACAGACUCCAGUGCAGGUGCUCUGCUGUUAAAGCCUUUUAAUUGCAUCACUUCCCAUCCAUGGGCAAAUUACAAACCUGUCUGCUGUGAGAGAAACUCACUCAGAUGCAAACCCAUCUUGUCUCCCAUGUGGCUUCCAGUGUGCAAAGACACUCAGAGAAAGAGGAUUUCUUAAGGCUUUAAAGAUGCAGACUUAAAAACGGACGUAAAAGAUGACGACAAACAAAAAAAAAGAGAAACAACUUUGUUACUUUUGUAUAUUGUGUAUAUAGCAUAGUCUUGAAUAUAUCCAUUUAUAUAGUAACAUUUUAUGUAUACAAAGAUCAUUAAAUACAAACUUCAUUUCCCAUUGUAUUAUAACAAGUUCCUCAUUAGCAUAUUAACAUGCAGGUAUUUGCUUUAACAGCAUCGUGUAGCAUUUAGCGUGUUAUAGUAUGAUAAUGUAUGUGCAGCUAGGAUAUUAGCAUGUUAGCUUUUGUGUUAGCAAACGCAUAUUACUAGGAAAUAUAACAUCACAUUACCAUGUGUACAAUUACCAUAUUUCCUUUUGAAGGGAUGCAACUAAUGAUUAUUUUCAUUAUAAAUGAAUCUGCCAAUUAUUUUGUUAUUUAAUAGCUUUGUCUAUAAAACGUGGUAAAAUAGUGAAAAGCGCCCGUUACAAUUUCCCAGGGUCAAAGGUCACGUCUUUUAAUGUUUUAUUUUGUCCGACCAACGGUUCAAAACCCAAAG
This is a long non-coding RNA of Thunnus maccoyii (southern bluefin tuna), 2865 nucleotides long. RefSeq lists it as uncharacterized. The transcript is spliced from 3 exons. The record is from RefSeq and is a predicted model, not a curated record. Lineage: Eukaryota; Metazoa; Chordata; Actinopteri; Scombriformes; Scombridae.